CGUGUAGGCGGUCAGGUAAGUGGGGUGUGAAAGCCCCCGGCUCACCCGGGGAUCUGCAUUCCAAACUGCCUGGCUUGAGUACGGGAGAGGAUGAGGGAAUUCCUGGUGUAGCGGUGAAAUGCGUAGAUAUCAGGAGGAACACCGGUGGCGAAGGCGCUCAUCUGGCCCGAUACUGACGCUGAGGCGCGAAAGCUAGGGGAGCAAACGGGAUUAGAUACCCCGGUAGUCCUAGCCGUAAACGGUGAGCACUAGGUGUUGGAGGCAUCGACCCCUCCAGUGCCGCAGCUAACGCAUUAAGUGCUCCGCCUGGGGAGUACGGCCGCAAGGUUGAA
This 332-nucleotide ribosomal RNA is filed under the name uncultured Desulfomonile sp. Its description in RNAcentral is "bacterial SSU rRNA". It matches the Rfam family "Bacterial small subunit ribosomal RNA", at positions 568 to 898 of the family's 1533-position model. Lineage: Bacteria; Pseudomonadati; Thermodesulfobacteriota; Desulfomonilia; Desulfomonilales; Desulfomonilaceae. The record is from RNAcentral.